This 433-nucleotide ribosomal RNA is filed under the name uncultured bacterium. RNAcentral's name for it is "partial 16S ribosomal RNA". It matches the Rfam family "Bacterial small subunit ribosomal RNA", at positions 29 to 507 of the family's 1533-position model. The record is from RNAcentral.
AACGAACGCUGGCGGCAUGCCUAACACAUGCAAGUCGAACGAGACCUUCGGGUCUAGUGGCGCACGGGUGCGUAACGCGUGGGAAUCUGCCCUUAGGUUCGGAAUAACUCAUGGAAAUUUCUGCUAAUACCGGAUGAUGUCUUCGGUCCAAAGAUUUAUCGCCUUUGGAUGGGCCCGCGUUGGAUUAGCUAGUUGGUGGGGUAAAGGCCUACCAAGGCGACGAUCCAUAGCUGGUCUGAGAGGAUGAUCAGCCACACUGGGACUGAGACACGGCCCAGACGGAUAAGGGAGGCAGAAGUGGGGAAUAUUGGACAAUGGGCGAAAGACUGAUCAAGAAAUGCCGCGUGAGUGAUGAAGGCCUUAGGGUUGUAAAGCGCUUUUACCAGGGAUGAUAAGGAAAGGAAAGGGAGAAGAAGCCCCGGAUAACUCCGUG